Molecule: non-coding RNA, 31 nt
Filed under: Mus musculus (house mouse)
Lineage: Eukaryota; Metazoa; Chordata; Mammalia; Rodentia; Muridae
Also listed under: 1 other name
Source: RNAcentral
UGGUGGCUCACAACCAUCUGUAAUGGGAUCU